CACCGCCCGUCGCUCCUACCGAUUGAAUGGUCCGUUGAAGUGUUCGGAUUGCGGCGACGUGGGCGGUUCGCUACCCGCGAUGUGGUGAGUAGUCCACUAAACCUUAUCAUUUAGAGGAAGAAGAAGUCGUAACAAGGUUUCUAUAGGUAAACCUGCAGAAG
Molecule: non-coding RNA, 161 nt
Filed under: Phaseolus vulgaris (common bean)
Lineage: Eukaryota; Viridiplantae; Streptophyta; Magnoliopsida; Fabales; Fabaceae
Description: rRNA SSU_rRNA_eukarya
Rfam family: Eukaryotic small subunit ribosomal RNA
Source: Rfam by way of RNAcentral